UUCUUUCUUCCAUCUGAAGGUGAAGUUGAGGAAGAAACCUAACUCCUUGAGUCAAUGCUGAUGAUGAAGAUCAGAAGCUUAACAUGUGAAAACAUGCAUGGCCUGAUGCUAUCAAAGAUGCUCUGAUGGCUUUCUUGUAUGAGAUUUACAACAAAAUCUCCAUAUGCUAGCUGUUAGAUCUCUGUUAGAUCUCAAUCAAGGUAUGGAGUUUCUUCUAUUAUUUUGCUUUAGUUCAUUUGAUGUUGAAUUGAGGAUCAACUAGUCCUUCAAAACUUAGGAUGUCUUGUUACAAGAAAAAAGGGUUUACCAGGUUUCAAAGAAGCUAUUUUUCAUGUUAGUGUCAAAAAAGCUGUCAACGUGCUUUCUGGGUGAAACUGUUGUAUAUGAUGAAGACCAUGAUCAAGGAAUCAUCUUUAAUUGGCUGGAAUGUGAGAUUUACUUCGUGGGUAUGAGUGAGAUUUGUUAGACCUGGCUUGUCCAACAUUUAUGCAGCCUAGGAUGGAAUGUGAAUUUGAUUUCAAGGUUUGUUGGGGAAGGAAUUUCUUCAUGAUUUGGACGAUGUUUGGAAUGAGAUUAUAGAUGUUGGGACUCUUUGCAAACUCUUGUUAAAUAUGAGCUUUAGUGAAACUGAUCUUUUAGGAGUUUUACUUCUACCAUGCGGUCAGAAGAAGAAUACAAGAAAGAUCAAUUAUCAAGACAUAAUUGUUGACAAUUGUUUAGGGAACAUGGAUUCCAAAAUGAACAUGCUUGGAAUAUAUAAAAUGGUUGGUUUUGAAUUCUCUUUAGCUUAGCAAAACACCAUAGCCUUGCAGAAGAAUCUGGAAGCUGCAAUCGUGUCAGCUGAGAACACUCAGAGGCACUUCAUGGAUAUGAUGGCUGGUGGUAAAACCAGUCCAUGCGCUUCUUCCUCUACUAUUCCUUAUAGUAAAUAUGCUGAUCAAACUCAUACCGUAAUUUUCUAAGGCGUGUAGAUUAUUAGACUUAUUCACGGUGUAUUGUGCAAGUUUUCCAGGAUACAAUAGGACUUUCUAAAAAAUAUUUGAGAAUCACAAAACUAGCAAGAAACUCUGAUAAAGUUUAUACCCAGGAUAUGAGAUAGGAAAUCAAGAGAGAAAAUAGAGAUUGAAAAUAUGUGUUUUUUGUGCGGCACUUGGAAUGAAAUAGAUGUUAUAUUUAUAAAUGUGCAAAGAAAGGACCGUUGCAAAAUUAUAAACGUUGCAUUAUGAAAGUUGUCAUCCAACGUCUUAAAACCAACGUUCCAAAACAAUAUAAUAUAAUAUUCAAAUGAACGUUGCAAAAGUUUAUGGACGUUGUAUAACUUUCUAUUGCAAUAAUAAUAUUUUACAACAAUUCCCCACAUUGCAAAAGAAAGUUGAGAAAAGAAGAAAAAAAAAAUCUGACUCAAAUAGUUCAAACAUUAGAAAAAGAAAGAUAAGAAACUUUUAUCUUGGAUUUCAUAGGAUGUAAUGCAUCAGAGAUGGUAUAGCAAGCUAUAUGAACCAAUCAUAGAUCAAGAAACUUAACACACAAUGUAGUUGGUAUAACAAGCUAUAUGAACCAAAGACACUUGACGUGUGUUAGAGGUUUAUCAAUCACAAUACAUCUCCACAAUCCUUGCUAUUAUUGUUGUGUUGCGCUAAUAAUAAGCCAUGCGCGUGCCUGGUAUUCAUGAGUGCUCUAGAGAUCAUGCCAAGACCUCAUGCAAGCAGCCCCACUCGACACUCAUAUAGGUGAUUUCAUCAAGUGUACGUUGCAAAUCAUACACCACCCAUAAGGGAUAUGAAAAUCAUUAAAAACUUUGUUUAAGCUAAAAUUCUUUCACCACAUAGAAUUUUAAUGACAAAGUCUAACCUCUCAAUAAUGUAGUCUCUAGCACUUUCACACACACCAUAGGAAGGGACAUAAUUGAUUGAAAUCAAUUUAGUGCUAUCAGAACUAACAAGUAACUUGUUUUUACCCAUAUGAACCUUAUUCAUGGGAUCUCCAAUCAUAAAGGUUGGGUUACCAUCACUUGUUUGUUUGCAAGUAGCUUAAGUCUCAUUCUCCUCGAUGUUUCUAAUAUCAUUUGUCUUCCCAGGGAUUUCGUCAGAGGAUUUGCUAGAUUCCGUUCUGACUUCACAUGGUAAAUGAAAAUAGUUACACUCUUUAGCAGCUGCUUCACCAAAUUAUUGUUUUUAGCUAUAUCUAUUGCCGAUUGGCAAUCACAGUGUAUUGACAUCGAUGGGGUUGGUUUCAUUCCUAUUGGAAUGUUUGCUAAGAAGUUUUUAAACCACUCAGCCUCAUUUUCAACCGUCUCAAGACCAACAAACUCAAAUUCCAUUGUUGAUCUUGCAAUAAUAGUUUGUCUGGUUGAUCUCCAUGUAAUCACACCACCCCAAGUGUGAAUACAUAACCACUAGUGGAUUUUGUCUCAUCUGAAUCAGAGAUCCAGUUAGCAUCACUAUACCCUUCUAGUACAGUGGGAAAUCCACUGUAUUCAAUGGCAUAAUCCAUUGAACCUCUUAAGUAUCUCAAUCUAAGACUGGAUUAUUGUAAAAUAUUAUUAUUGCAAUAGAAAGUUGUGCAACGUCCAUAAACUUUUGCUACGUUCAUUUGAAUAUUAUAUUAUAUUGUUUUGGAACGUUGGUUUUAAGACGUUGGGUGGCAACGUUCAUAAUGCAACAUUUAGAAUUUUGCAACGGCCUUUUCUUUGCAUGUUUAUAAAUAUAACAUCCAUUUCAUUCCAAGUGCAACACAAAAAACACAUAUUUUUAAUCUCAUAUCCUGGGUAUAAAUUCUAUCAGAGUUUCUUGUUAGUUUUGUGAUUCGCGAAUAUUUUCGAAAAGUUCCUGUUGUAUCCUGGGGGACUUGCGCAAUUCACCGCGGAUAAUUCCAGUGAUCUACGUGCCUCAGGAAAUUACGGUUUGAGUUUGGUCAACAUAUUUACUACAAUCUUAAGGAGUUAUUGGGAUGUGUUUUGGAAUGGAGAAAGAGUUCUCUAUUUAUAGAGUUAGGAAAGAAUAAAAUCAAUAAAAGACAAUAAAAACAAUAAAUAAUUUAACGUUGUAGCAAUUAAAAAUUUGACUAUUGCUAAUUAAUAAAAAUAUUAACGUUGCAAAAGUUUAUGGACGUUGCACAACUUUCAAUUGCAAUAAAAUAAUAAUAUUUUACAACAUUCCUGUCCAAGAGUGGAGCUUAGAAAGCUUCCUCCAACACCAUCCAGUCAGGUUUACUAGAAAGUGCAGUCCAGAUGAAGUUGACCAUUGGUUCAAGGAUAUGGAGAGAAUAUACGCAGACAAGAGGUGCCCAGAUGAGAAUAAGUUGGCUUAUACUCAGUAUUUGUUGAUCGGGGAAGCUGGCCACUGGUGGAGCAGCAUGAAGAUGAUCUUGGAAAGGAGUGGGGCUCCUAUUACUUAAGAGUUGUUCAAGACAAAGUUCUACACUGAAUAUUUCCCUGAUAAGAUAAUUGGAAGCUUUUCAAACAUUAUCAAUUUUGGAAUGAAAAAAUGUAUUGAAAAGCGAGGUGUUUUGUUUGUUGUGUUGCAAGAGUAAAACAGUGGAAGAAGUUGGUGAACAAUAUUUUGAUGAUAUGAUAUGUCCAUUGAUUUUUCAACCAUCAAGCAGAGAGAAUAUGUGUUUUGUCAUACGUGAACUUCUCAACGACUUGGCAAAAUACAUGGGAAGAAACAUUUGUUUUAAGGUUGCAAAGGGAAGAACAUGUUUUUUUGUCAUUCUUGAACAUUUCAAUGAUUUGGCAAAAUACAUGUAAAGAAAGUUUUGUUUAAAAGUUACAAAUGGAAGAAAUACAGGAUGAUAUAUUCUGCUUCUAGUUUUUUUAUUUCCUUGAUUUUGUAAACGGGCCAAGGCCACAUCGACGGCUAUUUACAGUCAUCAAAAUUCAAUGAAAAGUAACAUAGUGAAUUAUCAGAGUCAUAUCAUUUUUUUGUGUGCAGCGUUUUCUUUUUUACAGUUUUGUCAUACAUGAACUUCUCAAUGAUUUAGCAAAAUACAUUUGAAGAAACUUUUGCAGAUUGAAGAAAUACAAGAUUUAGUUUUGUCUCAAGUAUUUGUUGUGGAAGAUGAUGGAUAGGUUGAUUGAUUUACCUCUAACGUUAUCUAUAUACAAUGUUCCACAAUGUGUUUUGUCAUACAAGACCCUCUUACUGAUUAAAGAUGCACUUUCAUUUGGUAGUUAUUUUCUGUUGUAUCAUUAGAGAAAGAUCAUUGCUGGCAACAUGAAAAUGCUCAAAUGAAUAAUGCAAAUGACAUUUUGGAAGUCUUCUAUACACAAUUAUCAGUUUUAGAAUCAGAAAAUAUGUUGAAAAGUGAGAUGCAGGGUUUACUAGAAGAGAAUAUCAGCAUUAUCUCUGCCAGUUAUCAACACUUUCCUUCUCAUCUUAAGAUGUUUUCCUUUUCCGUAAAGAUUAUGUGUUUGAAGAAAGAGCAGUUAUGUCUGUCAUGAAUGCCUGAAAAUUUUCUGUAAUGCCAUCAAAAGAUUAAGAAUAUGAAAGAAGUUGGUGAAUAAUAUUUCAAUGAUUCUUUCAACAAUCAAGGGAACUCAAAACAUUGUAAGCUUAUUCCAGUAUGAAGGGUUUUCAAAGAGGAUUUAAGAGGAGUG
Molecule: long non-coding RNA, 4597 nt
Filed under: Vigna radiata
Lineage: Eukaryota; Viridiplantae; Streptophyta; Magnoliopsida; Fabales; Fabaceae
Description: long non-coding RNA (VRAD_LNC013445)
Source: RNAcentral